RNAcentral lists this small RNA (125 nucleotides) under Salmonella enterica subsp. enterica serovar Agona. RNAcentral's name for it is "partial RtT sRNA". It matches the Rfam family "RtT RNA", at positions 39 to 130 of the family's 130-position model. Rfam says of the family: This family represents a bacterial cis-regulatory element known as RtT RNA. The exact function of RtT is unknown although it is thought that it may be involved in changing the cellular response in relation to amino acid starvation. Lineage: Bacteria; Pseudomonadati; Pseudomonadota; Gammaproteobacteria; Enterobacterales; Enterobacteriaceae. The record is from RNAcentral.
AGGUUCGAAUCCUGCACGACCCACCAAUCGUUCGGUGGAAACGAGAAUAAAACGUGAAGGAUAACGUUGCGUCAGCAACGGCCCGUAGGGCAAGGCGAAGCCGAGUCAUCCUGCACGACCCACCA